This 253-nucleotide ribosomal RNA is filed under the name uncultured bacterium. RNAcentral's name for it is "partial 16S ribosomal RNA". It matches the Rfam family "Bacterial small subunit ribosomal RNA", at positions 524 to 776 of the family's 1533-position model. The record is from RNAcentral.
UACGAAGGGUGCAAGCGUUGUUCGGAUUUAUUGGGCGUAAAGCGCGCGCAGGCGGAAAAGUAAGCUAGAUGUGAAAUCUCGGGGCUCAACCUCGAAACUGCGUCUGGAACUGCUUUUCUAGAGUCUUGGAGAGGAAAGUGGAAUUUCGCAUGUAGGAGUAAAAUCCGUAGAGAUGCGAAGGAACACCGGAGGCGAAGGCGACUUUCUGGACAAGUACUGACGCUGAGGCGCGAAAGCGUGGGGAGCAAACAGG